RNAcentral lists this ribosomal RNA (253 nucleotides) under uncultured bacterium. RNAcentral describes it as "partial 16S ribosomal RNA". It matches the Rfam family "Bacterial small subunit ribosomal RNA", at positions 524 to 776 of the family's 1533-position model. The record is from RNAcentral.
UACGUAGGGUGCAAGCGUUGUCCGGAAUUAUUGGGCGUAAAGGGCUCGUAGGCGGUUUGUCGCGUCGGGGGUGAAAACGCCGUGCUUAACACGGCGCUUGCUUUCGAUACGGGCAGACUAGAGGUAUGCAGGGGAGAACGGAAUUCCUGGUGUAGCGGUGAAAUGCGCAGAUAUCAGGAGGAACACCGGUGGCGAAGGCGGUUCUCUGGGCAUUACCUGACGCUGAGGAGCGAAAGCCAGGGGAGCAAACGGG